Saccostrea cuccullata (small rock oyster) is the source of this 832-nucleotide long non-coding RNA. RefSeq lists it as uncharacterized. The record is from RefSeq and is a predicted model, not a curated record. NCBI's taxonomy places the organism in Eukaryota, Metazoa, Mollusca, Bivalvia, Ostreida, Ostreidae. The transcript has 4 exons.
ACACACGGCGGCAAAUUCAAAGUCUACGGGGAUUUAACAUGGUAAACUCGUCCAUUAGCGUCUGAAUUACGGGGCCGGGAACCAGUUUUCGAAGGGAGUAGUCGUUCUUUCCAAAGGAAAAAUUCAAAAAAUAAAAUUAAAUAGAAAGAAAUGAAAUAAACGUGUUUUUAAUACAAAUAUGAGAAAUACACAUUAUUCAGCAAUAUUUCAGCGAGUUUUAUCGUGAUAAAUGAGGGAAUACUCCGAAUAUGAAACAGUGCAUCUUAUGGACGCACUCAUUCCUCAUAUGGCGGGCUGUUGAACCAUCCAUGGUUCAGAAAGCUGAGGAGACUUCAACAGGUGCCACACCUUUGAUGGACAUCGCUGUUAGGAUAAACUUUCACUUUAUUUGAAGAGGAGAAGUGGAUCACAAUAAGGAACUGAGACUAAAUGCUGGCCUGUGAAAAGUUAACAUGCAGGAGAUACAGAGGAGGGGGAGCAGCUCCACUCAUCGAAAGUCAGUUAUAGCUGAUCCAUACUGAUGAAAUUUUGACCAAAGGACAAAAAAGUGUUUACAGCAAUAUAAGGUAAAGUAUCAAGAAUGUAGAUAAUUAAGAUGCAUAAAAAAGAUUAGUUACACACAGUCCCACCUCUUGAAAGACAAAUUAAUCAUUAAACAAUGCAUGUAUCAUAGAUUAACCAAUGAUAUAAUAAGUUCUCAUUGCCCUAAGAGACUUUAAAUAUUUUCAGUUUUGAAUAGUUUGACUCUGGUCAUAAAGGGGUAUUUCAUUGAUGGAUAAAAAAUUACCUUAUAUCAUUAAAAUUAGAUUGCCUAUGUUCCAAUGAGUUGCAU